This 372-nucleotide ribosomal RNA is filed under the name uncultured organism. RNAcentral's name for it is "bacterial SSU rRNA". It matches the Rfam family "Bacterial small subunit ribosomal RNA", at positions 526 to 896 of the family's 1533-position model. The record is from RNAcentral.
CAGAGGGUGCAAGCGUUGUUCGGAAUUAUUGGGCGUAAAGCGCGUGUAGGCGGCUUUGCAAGUCGGGUGUGAAAGCCCUCAGCUCAACUGAGGAAGUGCGCCCGAAACUGCAGAGCUUGAGUACCGGAGAGGAUGGCGGAAUUCCCCAAGUAGAGGUGAAAUUCGUAGAUAUGGGGAGGAACACCGGUGGCGAAGGCGGCCAUCUGGACGGUCACUGACGCUGAGACGCGAAAGCGUGGGUAGCAAACAGGAUUAGAUACCCUGGUAGUCCACGCUGUAAACGAUGAGAACUAGGUGUCGUGGGUGUUGACCCCCGCGGUGCCGUAGCUAACGCAUUAAGUUCUCCGCCUGGGAAGUACGGUCGCAAGACUA